This 403-nucleotide transfer-messenger RNA is filed under the name Legionellaceae. Its description in RNAcentral is "Legionella sp001899505 Standard tmRNA". It matches the Rfam family "transfer-messenger RNA". Rfam says of the family: Bacterial tmRNA, also known as 10Sa RNA or SsrA, is named for its dual tRNA and mRNA-like properties. Its role is to liberate the mRNA from a stalled ribosome. The record is from RNAcentral. RNAcentral also lists the same sequence under 2 other names. Lineage: Bacteria; Pseudomonadati; Pseudomonadota; Gammaproteobacteria; Legionellales.
GGGGGCGACCUGGUUUCGACGCGGGUUGCAAAACCGGAUGUGCAUGCCGAGAUUGAGACCUCUCGUAAAUCAGACUCACUAAACACAAAUGCAAACAAUGCAAAUUUUGAUGACGUUUCUUUCGAGGGCGCUAUUGCUGCCUAAGACUUAAACUAAUCAACGUGUACUGGCCAAAAACCCAGUGCCCCGUUGACCGAGCUCGCUUAUCGGUAUCGAAUCAACGGUCAUAGAAGAUAAGCUCGUGUGCUGAUGAGUCCCGCAUCAGUCCAUUAAACUAUGGGAACCGCUGUAUGAUAUCUUGCCCGUCGGAGCUCAUACAGUUAAAGCAAAUGACACGGCUACGCAUGUAGACCUGAAGGCAGAGGAUCUGCGGACGCGGGUUCGAUUCCCGCCGCCUCCACCA